AUUGAACGCUGGCGGCAGGCUUAACACAUGCAAGUCGAGCGGGGUGAUGGUGCUUGCACUAUCACUUAGCGGCGGACGGGUGAGUAAUGCUUAGGAAUCUGCCUAUUAGUGGGGGACAGCAUCUCGAAAGGGAUGCUAAUACCGCAUACGUCCUACGGGAGAAAGAAGGGGAUCUUCGGACCUUGCGCUAAUAGAUGAGCCUAAGUCGGAUUAGCUAGUUGGUGGGGUAAAGGCCUACCAAGGCGACGAUCUGUAGCGGGUCUGAGAGGAUGAUCCGCCACACUGGGACUGAGACACGGCCCAGACUCCUACGGGAGGCAGCAGUGGGGAAUAUUGGACAAUGGGGGGAACCCUGAUCCAGCCAUGCCGCGUGUGUGAAGAAGGCCUUAUGGUUGUAAAGCACUUUAAGCGAGGAGGAGGCUACUCUAGUUAAUACCUAGGGAUAGUGGACGUUACUCGCAGAAUAAGCACCGGCUAACUCUGUGCCAGCCGCCGCGGUAA
Molecule: ribosomal RNA, 501 nt
Filed under: uncultured bacterium
Lineage: Bacteria
Description: partial 16S ribosomal RNA
Rfam family: Bacterial small subunit ribosomal RNA
Source: RNAcentral